AGUGAACGCUGGCGGUAGGCCUAACACAUGCAAGUCGAACGGCAGCACAGUAAGAGCUUGCUCUUACGGGUGGCGAGUGGCGGACGUGUGAGGAAUACAUCGGAAUCUACUUUUUCGUGGGGGAUCACGUAGGGAAACUUACGCUAAUACCGCAUACCACCUUCGUGUGAAAGCAGUGGAUCUUCGGACCUUGCGCGAAUGAAUGAGCCGAUGUCGAGGUAGCUAGUUGGCGGGGUAAAGGCCCACCAAGUGGCCGAUCCGUAGCUGGUCUGAGGGGAUGAUCAGCCACACUGGAACUGAGACACGGUCCAGACUCCUACGGGAGGCAGCAGUGGGGAAUAUUGGACAAAGGGCGCAAGCCUGAUCCAGCCAUACCGCGUGGGUGAAGAAGGCCUUCGGGUUGUAAAGCCCUUUUGUUGGGAAAGAAAAGCAGCAGGUUAAUACCCCGCUGUUCUGACGGUACCCAAAGAAUAAGCACCGGCUAACUUCGUG
RNAcentral lists this ribosomal RNA (492 nucleotides) under uncultured bacterium. RNAcentral describes it as "partial 16S ribosomal RNA". It matches the Rfam family "Bacterial small subunit ribosomal RNA", at positions 29 to 507 of the family's 1533-position model. The record is from RNAcentral.